RNAcentral lists this ribosomal RNA (261 nucleotides) under uncultured bacterium. RNAcentral's name for it is "partial 16S ribosomal RNA". It matches the Rfam family "Bacterial small subunit ribosomal RNA", at positions 524 to 786 of the family's 1533-position model. The record is from RNAcentral.
UACGUAGGGCGCAAGCGUAUCCGGAAUUAUUGGGCGUAAAGAGCUCGUAGGCGGUUUGUCGCGUCUGCCGUGAAAAUCCGGGGCUCAACCCCGGACUUGCAGUGGGUACGGGCAGACUAGAGUGUGGUAGGGGAGACUGGAAUUCCCGGUGUAGCGGUGAAAUGCGCAGAUAUCUGGAGGAACACCGGUGGCGAAGGCGGCAUCCUGGACCGACACUGACGCUGAGGAGCGAAAGCCAGGGAGCAAACGGGAUUAAGAAAC